Molecule: ribosomal RNA, 301 nt
Filed under: uncultured bacterium
Lineage: Bacteria
Description: partial 16S ribosomal RNA
Rfam family: Bacterial small subunit ribosomal RNA
Source: RNAcentral
CAGCCGCCGCGGUAAUACGUAGGUGGCAAGCGUUGUCCGGAAUUAUUGGGCGUAAAGGGCUCGCAGGCGGUUUCUUAAGUCUGAUGUGAAAGCCCCCGGCUCAACCGGGGAGGGUCAUUGGAAACUGGGAAACUUGAGCGCAGAAGAGGAGAGUGGAAUUCCACGUGUAGCGGUGAAAUGCGUAGAGAUGUGGAGGAACACCAGUGGCGAAGGCGACUCUCUGGUCUGUAACUGACGCUGAGGAGCGAAAGCGUGGGGAGCGAACAGGAUUAGAUACCCCCGUAGUCCCUGUCUCUUAUAC